This 253-nucleotide unclassified non-coding RNA is filed under the name uncultured delta proteobacterium. RNAcentral's name for it is "contains 16S-23S intergenic spacer region". It matches the Rfam family "Bacterial small subunit ribosomal RNA", at positions 524 to 776 of the family's 1533-position model. Lineage: Bacteria; Deltaproteobacteria. The record is from RNAcentral.
UACGGAGGGUGCAAGCGUUAUUCGGAAUUACUGGGCGUAAAGCGCGCGUAGGUGGUUUAGUAAGUCUGAUGUGAAAGCCCACGACUCAAUCGUGGAAGUGCAUUGGAUACUGCUAGACUAGAGUACUGGAGGGGAGGACGGAAUUCCCGGUGUAGAGGUGAAAUUCGUAGAUAUCGGGAGGAACAACGGUGGCGAAGGCGGUCCUCUGGACAGUAACUGACGCUGAUGCGCGAAAGCGUGGGGAGCAAACAGG